Microcebus murinus (gray mouse lemur) is the source of this 1649-nucleotide non-coding RNA. The record is from RefSeq and is a predicted model, not a curated record. Lineage: Eukaryota; Metazoa; Chordata; Mammalia; Primates; Cheirogaleidae.
UACACGGAGUAGGUGGUCUCCAUAGUGACUUUUUAAAUUUCAUAUUUCUCUCAUAACCUUUAUGAGGUAAAAGAAUCUCCAGCCUUUCACCUUUGACAAGCGAUGAAAUGAAGGACAAAAAGGAGUUAUUAUGUAAAAUGAGGGCAAUUUUGCUGUAAAAUAUAAUAGGGCCGCAAUUCAGAAAAUUUUUGAAGCAUUUUGAUGGGCAUUGCUAUGGUUACAACUACAGGCGUAACAAGUCAGAUGCAAGAACAGCCUGGGAGCCUAGUGAGCACGGCCUCACCUCGCCAUCAAGCCACAUCCCUUCUAAUGCCUGGAAAGUUUCCCCCUGCAUUUGAGAAGAUGCUCAAGUUAUACUCCAUUUAGUCAAAAAUAACUACCAGGGAAUAGUCAUUGUCACAAACAGGAAUUUUGUACUGCAACCACAAGUUAAUGAAAGCCAAAGAAAAUUUUAUGGCUAAAGAAACAGAUCCAGAGAUUCUAGUUAAACAUUUUGUGAAGGCGGCAUGGUGACCAUAACCCAGGAGGUACCUGAGUAUGAAUCACUGGAUUACAUAGUGAAUUUCAAUCAAAUCUAAUUAAAAUACAUGUUUAUUGAAUACCCACUAUACGCCAAGCAUUGAGCUAGACACUGAAGACAGAGAUGUGAAUAUAAAGUGGAUGAAGGUAAGAAAGUUCAGGAGAUACAAGUAAUCUCUGUACUGCAUAUAAGCUGAGAAUUGUAUACAUGCCUCAAAAAGAAAACAAUUAUCCCAAAGGGAAAUUUUUCUUUUAUAAAAGAGGCAAAGAUUCUGCAUAUAUAUAUAUCAGAAAGAGCUGCUAUUUUGCAUAUUGGCAUGUCAUAGAUAUUUUUAUGCUACUUGCCUAGCAUUCAGUCCCUCUUCUGAUAAAAUAACUUGAAUUUUCCUAUGGGAAACCAUCCCUGCCCAAUUUUCAGUUCCCAUACUUCCAGUGGAGCUGAUUCUACCUCAUUCCUGAUUGGUCAGUAUCUACAUGUAACAAGUGUUAAAUAUUAGAUGUGACAUUAUCCUGCCUAAUCAGAACUUUAAAUAUACUGGCAAUAAUUGCUUCGGGGACUGGCAAGUGAACCAAGCCAAGAUAAUCAGGCCCAAUCAGCAAUAGUCAUCAGACUGUUGCUUGAGAAACCAGGAAAGGGCUGUUUUUUUUCCAUCAUAAGCCUCAACUCACAGGGUAAAAGCUUGCCUACAAUGAGCUAACACAGAGUGAAACAAACCUGACAGAUGGAAUGAGAGAGUAGGUUCUGAUUCCAUCAUAUGAACCCUUGGUUACAAGCCAAUAAAUUCUCCUUUUCUGCUUAAGUCAGCUUAAGUUGGGUUUUCUGUCACUUGCAACUAAAGGAUUUCUGAGCAAUUCCAAAGUUUCCCACCAAAAGUUGGCACCAGGCAUCAUAGUUGACAGCUUCCAUUCUUAUCACCCUAUAAUUCAUUCUUCGUACAGCAGCCAAGAUGAUCUUUUUAAAAAAAAAAAAAAAUGGGGCAUGUAACAUCUCUGCCUAAAACCUUUUUAUAGCUUCCCAUUGCACUUAGAAUAAACUCUAAACUAUUUAACCACUUUGAUAUGGCGCUCACCGGCCGCAAAACCUUGCCCACAGCCAGCACUCAUAGUCUGCACAAUAGUUUGUGCUGUGC